RNAcentral lists this ribosomal RNA (301 nucleotides) under uncultured bacterium. Its description in RNAcentral is "partial 16S ribosomal RNA". It matches the Rfam family "Bacterial small subunit ribosomal RNA", at positions 509 to 807 of the family's 1533-position model. The record is from RNAcentral.
CAGCAGCCGCGGUAAGACGGAGGGUGCAAGCGUUGCUCGGAAUCAUUGGGCGUAAAGGGUGCGUAGGUGGCUUUUUAAGUCUGACGUGAAAGCCCAGGGCUCAGCCUUGGAAGUGCGUCAGAAACUGGGAGGCUAGAGUGCCGGAGGGGAGAGUGGAAUUCCUGGUGUAGCGGUGAAAUGCGUAGAUAUCAGGAGGAAUACCGGUGGCGAAAGCGACUCUCUGGACGGCAACUGACACUGAGGCACGAAAGCGUGGGGAGCAAACAGGAUUAGAUACCCCAGUAGUCCCUGUCUCUUAUAC